RNAcentral lists this long non-coding RNA (960 nucleotides) under Fragaria vesca (wild strawberry). RNAcentral's name for it is "long non-coding RNA (FVES_LNC005015)". The record is from RNAcentral. Lineage: Eukaryota; Viridiplantae; Streptophyta; Magnoliopsida; Rosales; Rosaceae.
ACGGCAAAAUACUCCACGACAUUAAUUAUUCAAUCGUGAACUUAGCAUGCAUUUAUUUAAAACAAAAGUCCACUCACAAAUUAGGCCUAAGCCUGAUGUCGAUCUGGGGUCUCGUCUGCUCGAGCCUCCUCACGUCCUGAUCCAAAUAAAAUAUUAAUUUCCCAACCAAUAAUCCAAUAUUUAAUCAAAAUAGGCAAAAUUACCCGAGAGCCAUAAUUACUCUCAUUAUUGCCUAACUUCGAUAUUCUUACAUCGGAACGAUCCGAACUUAAAUAUCAUACUCCACAGUCGUAAAUAUAACCUCCCCAAAAUACGACUUAAAUCCUACGGCCGGAUUCUACAUUAAUUAUCCGCCAAAAAUACCAAACUUCGGAAAUUCACAAACCUAUCCAAAUCUCAUCCAAAAAUUCCAUAAAUCACACCAAUAAAAUCACCUUAAUAUUCUACAUCAAAAACCACAAAAAUUCCCAAAACAGCGGCGGCGCCGCCGGCGGCUCCGCCGGCAGCGGCGGCCGGCGACCAACUCCGGCGACCUGCAAAUGCUACCAAAUUUUAACAGAAUCUUCCUCUCAAUCUCCUCUACAACUUUCAUGACCAACACAAACUCCAAUUCUAAGCCUAACCAUGUCGAUCGAACACAAACAACCAUAAAUCCCCAAAACUUUCAAUUAUACAAACCACCCUAACGAAAACGAAUUUAGCCGAAACCUUUUGAGGGAUUACUCACCUAGAUGAGGGCUACAAGUUGAGCCAAAAAUCACGACCUAUGGUGGCCGGAGGACGGAGCUCCGACGAAGACACAGUCGGCGGUUCCGACGGCUUUUCUCCUCUCCGGCGGGUUAGAGGCUCGGGGGCUAGGCCGGGGAGGGGAGGAGGGAGGGUGGACGGGGGUCCGAUCUGGGCUGGAGCGGCGGCAGCUGGUGGCCGGACGGCGGCGGGCUGCGGUGGUGAAGUUUCCCG